RNAcentral lists this ribosomal RNA (465 nucleotides) under Vreelandella stevensii. Its description in RNAcentral is "partial 16S ribosomal RNA". It matches the Rfam family "Bacterial small subunit ribosomal RNA", at positions 338 to 795 of the family's 1533-position model. The record is from RNAcentral. Lineage: Bacteria; Pseudomonadati; Pseudomonadota; Gammaproteobacteria; Oceanospirillales; Halomonadaceae.
CCUACGGGGUGCGGCAGUGGGGAAUAUUGGACAAUGGGCGAAAGCCUGAUCCAGCCAUGCCGCGUGUGUGAAGAAGGCCUUCGGGUUGUAAAGCACUUUCAGUGGGGAAGAAAGCCUUGGGGCUAAUACCCUCGAGGAAGGACAUCACCCACAGAAGAAGCACCGGCUAACUCCGUGCCAGCAGCCGCGGUAAUACGGCGGGUGCGAGCGUUAAUCGGAAUUACUGGGCGUAAAGCGCGCGUAGGCGGUCUGAUAAGCCGGUUGUGAAAGCCCCGGGCUCAAACUGGGAACGGCAUCCGGAACUGUCAGGCUAGAGUGCAGGAGAGGAAGGUAGAAUUCCCGGUGUAGCGGUGAAAUGCGUAGAGAUCGGGAGGAAUACCAGUGGCGAAGGCGGCCUUCUGGACUGACACUGACGCUGAGGUGCGAAAGCGUGGGUAGCAAACAGGAUUAGAUACCCGAGUAGUC